CAAACGGCUCUUUUCAGAGCCCCCACAAGCUACAAAGAGCUGGUCU
Molecule: non-coding RNA, 46 nt
Organism: Tetraodon nigroviridis (spotted green pufferfish)
Lineage: Eukaryota; Metazoa; Chordata; Actinopteri; Tetraodontiformes; Tetraodontidae
Source: Rfam